Non-coding RNA from Bacillus thuringiensis serovar israelensis ATCC 35646, 174 nucleotides. NCBI's taxonomy places the organism in Bacteria, Bacillati, Bacillota, Bacilli, Caryophanales, Bacillaceae. The record is from Rfam.
CAUAUCUCCAAAGGGGAGUAGCGUCCAAGAAAAUUUCUUGGAAACAAAGUCGUCAUUACGUAGAACUUAGUUCUUCCGGCUUUGUUGGCAUUUUCAUUACAUAUGUCUAGCAAGACCUUUGCCUAUUAACGGCAGAGGUCUUUUUUGUAUUCAUUUCCAGAUUCUUCCAAAGUU